RNAcentral lists this ribosomal RNA (253 nucleotides) under uncultured bacterium. Its description in RNAcentral is "partial 16S ribosomal RNA". It matches the Rfam family "Bacterial small subunit ribosomal RNA", at positions 524 to 776 of the family's 1533-position model. The record is from RNAcentral.
UACGUAGGGUGCCAGCGUUGUCCGGAUUUACUGGGCGUAAAGAGCGCGCAGGCGGUCGUUCAAGUCGCGUGUGAAAGCCCCCGGCUCAACUGGGGAGGGUCACGCGAUACUGAUCGACUGGACGGCAGGAGAGGGUAGUGGAAUUCCCGGUGUAGUGGUGAAAUGCGUAGAUAUCGGGAGGAACACCGGUGGCGAAGGCGGCGACCUGGGUCGAUACUGACGCUGAGGCGCGAAAGCGUGGGGAGCAAACAGG